CUUUUGUGGGGUGCUCGAGUGGCGAACGGGUGAGUAACACGUUAGUAACCUGCCCUUGACUUUGGGAUAACUUCAGGAAACUGGGGCUAAUACCGGAUAGGAGCCCCUGCUGCAUGGUGGGGGUUGGAAAGUUUCGGCGGUUGGGGAUGGACUCGCGGCUUAUCAGCUUGUUGGUGGGGUAGUGGCUUACCAAGGCUUUGACGGGUAGCCGGCCUGAGAGGGUGACCGGCCACAUUGGGACUGAGAUACGGCCCAG
Molecule: ribosomal RNA, 256 nt
Filed under: uncultured Actinomycetales bacterium
Lineage: Bacteria; Bacillati; Actinomycetota; Actinomycetes; Actinomycetales
Description: partial 16S ribosomal RNA
Rfam family: Bacterial small subunit ribosomal RNA
Source: RNAcentral